Long non-coding RNA from Asparagus officinalis (garden asparagus), 637 nucleotides. RefSeq lists it as uncharacterized. NCBI's taxonomy places the organism in Eukaryota, Viridiplantae, Streptophyta, Magnoliopsida, Asparagales, Asparagaceae. The record is from RefSeq and is a predicted model, not a curated record. The transcript has 3 exons.
GUGAAAUUGAUUUUAGGGCUUCUGUUCGUUUGGUGCUAUAACUUCAGUUUGGAAGUUGGGUGAAAUCAGAUUCCUGGUUGUUGCUUGCUUGAUUGCUUCUAGGGGAUUGUUGGUUGCUUGCUAGUUUAGUAUUUGAGCUUGGUGGUUGCUUGUUGUUGCUUGUUGUUUGUCGAUUUCAGCUUCUUACUUGCUGGUUUAGUAUUUGAGUUGUCUUCUCCGGCGCUCGUUACCCCAGACCGAGCAGCACACAGCCACCGCCACGAUCCCAUUCUCCGUCGCUCGUGACCCGAGACCGAGCGAAACACCGCACCGCCACGAGAUCUUGAUGUGAUAUAAUGGCAAGAAAGAGUUUUUAUGUUGUAAAGAGAGGUCGACGUUGUGGUAUUUUUUAUAAUUGGGAGGAAUGUUUUUCUCAAGUUGAUAGAUUCCCAAAUGCCUCCUACAAAGGGUAUGCAACGUAUGAAGAGGCUUUGAGUGAAUGGGAGAAGCACUUAAGCGCGCGUGAUUCAUCAUCCAGCUCAAGGCAUAUGCAGCCACAUGUUUGUGUUCAAGAACAAAUGUUUCCAGAGGGGCAUAAUCUUCUUGAGGACAAGGGAACACCUAGGGAAACUGCUAUUAAGUACAUCUUUGCUUUUGU